RNAcentral lists this ribosomal RNA (253 nucleotides) under uncultured bacterium. RNAcentral's name for it is "partial 16S ribosomal RNA". It matches the Rfam family "Bacterial small subunit ribosomal RNA", at positions 524 to 776 of the family's 1533-position model. The record is from RNAcentral.
UACGUAGGGUGCAAGCGUUGUCCGGAAUUAUUGGGCGUAAAGAGCUCGUAGGCGGUUUGUUGCGUCGGCUGUGAAAUCCCGAGGCUCAACCUCGGGUCUGCAGUCGAUACGAGCAAACUAGAGUGUUGCAGGGGAGACUGGAAUUCCUGGUGUAGCGGUGAAAUGCGCAGAUAUCAGGAGGAACACCGGUGGCGAAGGCGGGUUGCUGGGCUGACACUGACGCUGAGGCGCGAAAGCCAGGGGAGCAAACAGG